AGUGAACGCUGGCGGUAGGCCUAACACAUGCAAGUCGAACGGCAGCACAGUAAGAGCUUGCUCUUACGGGUGGCGAGUGGCGGACAGGUGAGGAAUACAUCGGAAUCUACUUUUUCGUGGGGGAUAACGUAGGGAAACUUACGCUAAUACCGCAUAUGACCUACGGGUGAAAGCAGGGGAUCUUCGGACCUUGCGCGAUUGAAUGAGCCGAUGUCGGAUUAGCUAGUUGGCGGGGUAAAGGCCCACCAAGGCGACGAUCCGUAGCUGGUCUGAGAGGAUGAUCAGCCACACUGGAACUGAGACACGGUCCAGACUCCUACGGGAGGCAGCAGUGGGGAAUAUUGGACAAUGGGCGCAAGCCUGAUCCAGCCAUACCGCGUGGGUGAAGAAGGCCUUCGGGUUGUAAAGCCCUUUUGUUGGGAAAGAAAAGCAGCAGGUUAAUACCCCGCUGUUCUGACGGUACCCAAAGAAUAAGCACCGGCUAACUUCGU
This 491-nucleotide ribosomal RNA is filed under the name uncultured bacterium. RNAcentral's name for it is "partial 16S ribosomal RNA". It matches the Rfam family "Bacterial small subunit ribosomal RNA", at positions 29 to 506 of the family's 1533-position model. The record is from RNAcentral.